UACGGGGGGAGCAAGCGUUGUUCGGAUUUACUGGGCGUAAAGGGCGCGUAGGCGGCGUGACAAGUCACUUGUGAAAUCUCCGGGCUUAACCCGGAACGGUCAAGUGAUACUGUCGUGCUAGAGUACAGAAGGGGCAACUGGAAUUCUCGGUGUAGCGGUGAAAUGCGUAGAUAUCGAGAGGAACACCUGCGGCGAAGGCGGCAUCCUGGACCGGUAUUGACGCUGAGGCGCGAAAGCCAGGGGAGCAAACGGG
Molecule: ribosomal RNA, 253 nt
Filed under: uncultured bacterium
Lineage: Bacteria
Description: partial 16S ribosomal RNA
Rfam family: Bacterial small subunit ribosomal RNA
Source: RNAcentral